This 718-nucleotide long non-coding RNA is filed under the name Medicago truncatula (barrel medic). Its description in RNAcentral is "long non-coding RNA (MTRU_LNC002271)". Lineage: Eukaryota; Viridiplantae; Streptophyta; Magnoliopsida; Fabales; Fabaceae. The record is from RNAcentral.
AGUGUAAACCGCCAAUAUAAGUAGAUAAGCCUCCUCGAACACCAGAUUCUUUGUAAGAGAAAUGUGGCAUUGAAUCAGGGAUUAAAUGAACCGGAAGCAUAAAGAGUUCUAUUGCAUUAACAAACGCAAAUGAUGAUGUUUGAGGUGUGAAUAUGAUUUUGAAUCUUUUUCUAAUGAUUUUAACGUAAUACUCUUUUACUAAAGCAGAUUUGGUGGUGUUUUCAGCGUUGAAAUUAUGUAACAGAAGGAAACCAGGAACGGAAAUGUUGAAUUUUGCAGUGGAAAGUUUAGUUGGUGAAGAGAAUGAAAAGAAACGGAAACGUACCAUAUAAGUGUUGUUUGGUAUGGUAGAAAAUUCGUAGGAGGAUUCAGAAUGGAAAAUUCUUGCUGUUUGGUAAAGAGGUGAAGACACUGAUGAUGGAUUGGUUUCUAUGGAACUUCUUUGGCUGAAUGAUUUUUUAGGGUAAGCAUGGUUUGAUUCACCAAUAUAAAGAUUCUUAUUUUCAUUCACGUCGAUAUCUGAUCCACAAUUGAUGAAGUAUGUCUCUUGAUGAUCGUAUCCGAGUGCAGGGAAGUGUAGUGAUGAGAAUUGAAGAAGAAGAAAAGCCAGUAAAAUGAUAGAGUGUUGAAUUGCCAUUGGGAGAGAGGAAAGUUUUGUUUGGUUGAUGAUUUUUUAAGCUAUGAUGAUAUUGAUGAUUGAAAUUCUUGUAACUUAUCA